Molecule: ribosomal RNA, 776 nt
Filed under: uncultured Neocallimastigales
Lineage: Eukaryota; Fungi; Neocallimastigomycota; Neocallimastigomycetes; Neocallimastigales
Description: partial large subunit ribosomal RNA
Rfam family: Eukaryotic large subunit ribosomal RNA
Source: RNAcentral
AGAGAGAGACAUGCGCGCAUAUCAAUAAGCGGAGGAAAAGAAACUAACUAGGAUUCCCUCAGUAACGGCGAGUGAAGCGGGAAGAGCUCAAAUUUGAAAUCUUCAAGGUUCUACCUUGACGAAUUGUAGUUUAAAGAAGUGUUUUCUGUUGGAGUUUUGGUAAAAGUUCUUUGGAAUAGGACAUCAUAGAGGGUGAGAAUCCCGUAUUUGACCAUUAUUUCCAGCUUUGUGAUACACUUUCAAAGAGUCGGAUUGUUUGGGAAUGCAGUCCAAAAUGGGUGGUAAAUUUCAUCUAAAGCUAAAUAUUGGCGAGAGACCGAUAGCGAACAAGUACCGUGAGGGAAAGAUGAAAAGAACUUUGAAAAGAGAGUUAAACAGUACGUGAAAUUGUCAAAAGGGAAGGCGUUUGACACCAGUGUUGUUUUCUCGAAAAUCAAUUAAAAAAGGGCAGGAUUUUGUGUUGUAUUGACUUUAUCAGCUUUCUGCACUCUUUUCUUGUCUUUUUUAAUGCACUUUUCGUUUAACAAGUCAACAUCAAUUUCUUUUGUUGUAAAAGGGUCAUUGGAAGGUGGCUUUCUUUUCGGAGAAAGUGUUUAUAGCCUUUGGCCUCUGCAAUCGGAGAGAUUGAGGUCUGCAGCGUAGAUCCUUCGGGGUUAGAUACAUUUGUGCUAAGUUAUAGCCUUUCAUAGACAACUUGUUGACUAUGAUCAGUCAUGUAGCUUACUCGCUUAUGCUAUUUUACCUACGCUUAGGAUGUUGAUGUGAUACUGCGAGCA